Molecule: ribosomal RNA, 252 nt
Filed under: uncultured bacterium
Lineage: Bacteria
Description: partial 16S ribosomal RNA
Rfam family: Bacterial small subunit ribosomal RNA
Source: RNAcentral
ACGAAGGUCCCGAGCGUUGUUCGGAAUCACUGGGCGUAAAGGGAGCGUAGGCGGCGCGGUAAGUCGGAUGUGAAAUCCCGGGGCUCAACCCCGGAACUGCAUCUGAUACUGCCGUGCUAGAGUAAUGGAGAGGUAGCUGGAAUUAUCGGUGUAGCAGUGAAAUGCGUAGAUAUCGAUAGGAACACUCGUGGCGAAAGCGAGCUACUGGACAUUUACUGACGCUGAGGCUCGAAGGCUAGGGGAGCGAAAGGG